AGCGAACGCUGGCGGCAGGCUUAACACAUGCAAGUCGAGCGGGCGUAGCAAUACGUCAGCGGCAGACGGGUGAGUAACGCGUGGGAACGUACCUUUUGGUUCGGAACAACACAGGGAAACGUUAGUGCUAAUACCGGAUAAGCCCUUACGGGGAAAGGAUUAUCGCCGAAAGAUCGGCCCGCGUCUGAUUAGCUAGUUGGUGAGGUAACGGCUCACCAAGGCGACGAUCAGUAGCUGGUC
RNAcentral lists this ribosomal RNA (240 nucleotides) under uncultured bacterium. Its description in RNAcentral is "partial 16S ribosomal RNA". It matches the Rfam family "Bacterial small subunit ribosomal RNA", at positions 29 to 292 of the family's 1533-position model. The record is from RNAcentral.